AGCGAACGCUGGCGGCAGGCUUAACACAUGCAAGUCGAGCGGGCGUAGCAAUACGUCAGCGGCAGACGGGUGAGUAACGCGUGGGAACGUACCUUUUGGUUCGGAACAACACAGGGAAACUUGUGCUAAUACCGGAUAAGCCCUUACGGGGAAAGAUUUAUCGCCGAAAGAUCGGCCCGCGUCUGAUUAGCUAGUUGGUGAGGUAACGGCUCACCAAGGCGACGAUCAGUAGCUGGUCUGAGAGGAUGAUCAGCCACAUUGGGACUGAGACACGGCCCAAACUCCUACGGGAGGCAGCAGUGGGGAAUAUUGGACAAGGGGGGCAACCCUGAUCCAGCCAUGCCGCGUGAGUGAUGAAGGCCCUAGGGUUGUAAAGCUCUUUUGUGCGGGAAGAUAAUGACGGUACCGCAAGAAUAAGCCCCGGCUAACUUCGUG
RNAcentral lists this ribosomal RNA (435 nucleotides) under uncultured bacterium. RNAcentral describes it as "partial 16S ribosomal RNA". It matches the Rfam family "Bacterial small subunit ribosomal RNA", at positions 29 to 507 of the family's 1533-position model. The record is from RNAcentral.